UACUCCGCUCUAUCGUUUCUAUUCUUACUUCUUCUAUUUCUACACUAUCUUUAUAUCAAUUCUUUCUAUCUACGAUGACUGCUAUUAUUAGUAGGCUGUACUUGUUCUUCUUAAACUUUAAGUUUCAAGGGAACUAGGCUAAGCUUGGCUGCCUUAAGUUUUAUUCUUAAACUUAAAAUCGAAACCUAAUAAAACUAAGUUAGUCAAGUAAACCCUAAUUUAGUUUUGAUAGCUCCUAGCAUUAGAUUUCCUCUAAGCACUGCAUCCCUCACUCAAGAAUUGAGAAACCUGGAACUGCAAGGCUGGUCCUGUGUCGCUUACCCCCAGGUUAUCGAGGAAGGGUACGGAAGAUUUGGCCACCGGAAGCCUGCUGCUGUAUCACUCGAGAGCCACACUCAGCUUUGCAACUCAAAGGACACAAGCACCAAAGAAACUGCAGGAAAAGGGAAGAAAAAGCCACGGCCAAAGGCUGCAAACACCACACCCCUGUACCGAGGGCUCGGGUUCGACACUUCUCCGCACAGGCUUAAUCCUCCUCUCUGCAUUGGCCCUCUUCACACCGGAGUCGAAAGUGAGCUCCCUCUAACUAGGGUGUGGGUCUUUCCCUGCCUUUCACAAGAUAGCACUGCCAUUUUGAAGGUAGUUCUAGAAACCAGCUUCUUGAGAGGGUUCCCCCCCAGGAAAAGGGGGAAAAACAAAUCUGUUACCAUUUCAGUCGGCAACGUCUCGUAGGCUCUUCUUUUCACCUCUCUUGCACAGAGUGGCUCUGCCCUCCACCCUCUUCCCAUUACACCUUUAGCAUUUCACCCAGAAAGCACCCUUUGUAACGGCACCCGACAGUCACAUCAGACUCUGGCCUCUCCCCAGCCUUAAUACCCCACAGCCCCAUACCCAACGAGGAAGCACACAGCCUGGUGAAGAAUACUACAGUGAGUACAGAUGAGGAAUUGAAAGCACUGACCUCUUUCUCACAGCCUUUUAAGUGGAAGGCAGAAAGCUGAGGACUGUUCAUUUCUGCUUAGGAGAAUGUCCAAGCUGAUCAGGUCUACGUCUGCCAGUUUCUCCUCCAGCUGGGGCUCCUGGACAAUUCCUCUGCAAGCGCAGCUGCAAAAGUCAAGCAUGAGCCAUCACUACACAAAGCUCUGUUGGUGCUUGAAAUCUUGGUCUCAUCCCUGCCUCCCUCUCCCAUCCCAUCUACAUUGGCCCCACUUGAUGAACAGAGACCGAGUAAACACAGACAAUCAUCGCUCCACUUUAGAGCCAACUGCCACACAUGAUUUUCAUCUGCUCCUACUUCUCAAUGGCUUCCAAAACCUAACCUGUAGGGAUGCACCCCUAGCACCCCUGCCUGUGUCCAAUGAAGGGAGACAGCACAAGGAAAGGCAAGGACAGACACAGAGAGAGAGAUGGUGUGUGUUGGCCAACGUACUAGAGAGAGAGAAAAAGGUGGGAGGAAGGCAAGCAACUCACCACCUGGAGUCAUCCUCCUGGAUCUAACCUGUUGCAGAGGACACACCGGUCCUGGCCAGAGAAAUGAGCAGCCCCUGGAAAUGGGGACCUUGUCUCCCUCAAAACCAGAACUAGUCAGGAACCUUUUCUUCCAACCUAGCCCUAGCUAACGGGGUAUCCCUACUAAGAGCAAGAUGGGCCAUGAGCAGAGCCCUCACCAAACCAAACAUUUAUCUCACUGAAAGUGGUUGUGCUUCCGCUCUCAGAUGGAUGGCUUUUGCGUCGCAUCAACAACGCUCACAGUCUCGUCGCUCUCGCUUCCUUUCCAUCGCAUGAGGGCAGUAGACUCUGACGCGUGACUUCUUUUCCCUUGCUACUAAACCCAGCACAAGGAGGAAAAACACAUAAGUUACCCUCUCAGUCAGCAAUGUCGGGUAGGCUCUUCUUUUUGCCUCCCCCACACGGGGCUGCACCCUCAACCCUCUUCCCAUUACACUACUAAAAGUAGAAAGUACCCCUUGCAAUUACACCCAAAAUAGUCAGUCUGCACAGCAGACUCUGGUCAGAAAUGCAAGGCUUUGGAGCUGUGCUCCGGCUCCGCUCCAGGCAAAAACCUGCAGCUCCACUGCUCGAGUUGCUCUGCGCUCCAGCUCUGCUCCAAAGCCCUGCAGAAAUGCCAAACCCGCACAAAAAUAUGCAGAAAGUGGUCAUGUUUUUGGCCUAAUUGGCUUGUGAGUUGCUUGUUGGUUAAUUUUUGACUUGUAGGUUGUUGCUUCUUGUAGCUUCUUGCUUCUUUUUUUUUUAUCUGCUCCCAGUAAAGACGGGAGAGAAACAGGGGUGCACAGUGGGCCCACCACAGUCCCAGACGACAUGCCAGGGGAGAUUUAGUCACAUAGAGUGUUGGGGUUCUUAGGGAUUGGCUUGUUUUGAAAUGGGAUUGGCUUGAUUUUUGGUUUCUUAUGAAAGUCAGGGUGCUUAUAUACCCAGUGAAAGUUGGCAACUGUGACUCUGGUCCAUUCCCCAGCCUUAAUCCCACAGAGCACUAUAUUCAACGAGGAGGCACAUGGCCUCUGAACAAAACUGGAGUGAGCACAGAUGAGGAAUUCCAAGCACUGACUGCUUACUCACAGCCAGUAAUGUGGAAGGCAGAAACACGAGAACUAUUCAUGUCUCCUUAGAAGGAUAUCCAGGCUGCUCAGGUCCACUUCUGCCAUAUUCUUGUCCGGCUAGGGCUCCUGGACAAUUCCUCUGCAAACUAAUAAAGCCGAGCAAGAACUAUCACUACA
Molecule: long non-coding RNA, 2735 nt
Organism: Malaclemys terrapin pileata
Lineage: Eukaryota; Metazoa; Chordata; Testudines; Emydidae
Exons: 3
Source: RefSeq, a predicted model, not a curated record